UGAGGAAUAUUGGGCAAUGCACGAAAGUGUGACCCAGCAACGCCGCGUGGAGGAUGAAGGUACUCUGUAUUGUAAACUCCUGUGAGAGCAGAUGAAAGACUAAUUAUUAAUUAGGAUGACCGUAUGCUCAGAGGAAGCCCCGGCUAACUACGUGCCAGCAGCCGCGGUAAUACGUAGGGGGCAAGCGUUGUCCGGAUUCACUGGGUGUAAAGGGCGCGUAGGCGGGAUAGCAAGUCAGUGGUGAAAUCUUGCAGCUCAACUGCAAAACCUGCCGUUGAUACUGCUGUUCUUGGGUGUGGAAGAGAGAGGCGGAAUUCCGAGGUGUAGUAGUGAAAUACGUAGAUAUCUGGAAGAACACCAAUUGCGAAGGCUGCUUCUUGGUCCAUAACUGACGCUGAGG
RNAcentral lists this ribosomal RNA (400 nucleotides) under uncultured bacterium. Its description in RNAcentral is "bacterial SSU rRNA". It matches the Rfam family "Bacterial small subunit ribosomal RNA", at positions 355 to 751 of the family's 1533-position model. The record is from RNAcentral.